This is a long non-coding RNA of Mastomys coucha (southern multimammate mouse), 455 nucleotides long. RefSeq lists it as uncharacterized. NCBI's taxonomy places the organism in Eukaryota, Metazoa, Chordata, Mammalia, Rodentia, Muridae. The record is from RefSeq and is a predicted model, not a curated record. The transcript is spliced from 3 exons.
GCCUUUGGUUUGAUUCUCAAUACCAUAGUGAGAAGGUUAGAAAGAAGAGGAGAAGGAGGAAGAGGAAAAGCAGGAGAAGAAAAAGGAAAGGAGGAGAAAUAAAGGUCAUGAUGAAUUCAACCUCUUCCUGAUGAAGGACUCAUUACGAAUACCCUCCCCAUCUCAAGUUAUGUAACUUCAUUAUAUAUUCAAGGAGGAAGGGGAGGCUGAGGAGCCUCGGGAGGUAAGGAAAACGUCACUCCUCAGGAAGAACAAACUUGAAGAUUCCCAAGGCUCCUGCCCUGCCUGAUAAAAAGGAGUAAACAGCUGCUGGAGGUGGACACUGACCAGCCAGGCUGCAAAGAAGAGAUACUUCUUGAAUUGCAGCUGCCUGCAGACUGUGCAGAGGGGUCCAGCUGCUCCUGACUCUUUCCUGACUCUUGUAAACCCAGUUAAAGUUCAUUGUUUUCCCCAAA